This 253-nucleotide ribosomal RNA is filed under the name uncultured bacterium. RNAcentral describes it as "partial 16S ribosomal RNA". It matches the Rfam family "Bacterial small subunit ribosomal RNA", at positions 524 to 776 of the family's 1533-position model. The record is from RNAcentral.
GACAGAGGGUGCAAACGUUGCUCGGAAUUACUGGGCGUAAAGAGCGUGUAGGCGGCCAGGUAGGUCUGCUGUGAAAACUCGAGGCUCAACCUCGAGACGUCGGCGGAAACCAUCUGGCUAGAGUCCGGAAGAGGAGAGUGGAAUUCCUGGUGUAGCGGUGAAAUGCGCAGAUAUCAGGAAGAACACCCGUGGCGAAGGCGGCUCUCUGGGACGGUACUGACGCUGAGACGCGAAAGCGUGGGGAGCGAACAGG